AUACGGAGGGUGCAAGCGUUACUCGGAAUCACUGGGCGUAAAGAGCGUGUAGGCGGGUUGAUAAGUCAGAAGUGAAAUCCUAUAGCUCAACUAUAGAACUGCUUUUGAAACUGUCAGCCUAGAAUAUGGGAGAGGUAGAUGGAAUUUCUGGUGUAGGGGUAAAAUCCGUAGAGAUCAGAAGGAAUACCGAUUGCGAAGGCGAUCUACUGGAACAUUAUUGACGCUGAGACGCGAAAGCGUGGGGAGCAAACAGGAUUAGAAACCCCAGUAGUCC
This 274-nucleotide ribosomal RNA is filed under the name uncultured bacterium. Its description in RNAcentral is "partial 16S ribosomal RNA". It matches the Rfam family "Bacterial small subunit ribosomal RNA", at positions 523 to 796 of the family's 1533-position model. The record is from RNAcentral.